This 305-nucleotide unclassified non-coding RNA is filed under the name plant metagenome. RNAcentral's name for it is "partial contains 5.8S ribosomal RNA, internal transcribed spacer 2, and large subunit ribosomal RNA". The stretch from base 1 to 105 matches the Rfam family "5.8S ribosomal RNA", at positions 50 to 154 of the family's 154-position model. The record is from RNAcentral.
GAAAUGCGAUAAGUAAUGUGAAUUGCAGAAUUCCGUGAAUCAUCGAAUCUUUGAACGCACAUUGCGCCCGCCAGUAUUCUGGCGGGCAUGCCUGUUCGAGCGUCAUUUCAACCAUCAAGCCCCCGGCUUGUGUUGGGGACCUGCGGCUGCCCGCAGGCCCUGAAAAACAGUGGCGGGCUCGCUGUCACACCGAGCGUAGUAGCAUACAUUCUCGCUCAGGGCGUGCUGCGGGUUCCGGCCGUUAAACGACCUUCAUAACCCAAGGUUGACCUCGGAUCAGGUAGGAAGACCCGCUGAACUUAAGC